Molecule: ribosomal RNA, 275 nt
Filed under: uncultured bacterium
Lineage: Bacteria
Description: partial 16S ribosomal RNA
Rfam family: Bacterial small subunit ribosomal RNA
Source: RNAcentral
CCUACGGGUGGCUGCAGUCGAGAAUCUUCGGCAAUGAGCGCAAGCUUGACCGAGCGACGCCGCGUGCGGGAUGAAGGCCCUCGGGUUGUAAACCGCUGUCGUAAGAAGGGAAAUCUAUCGGGGUUCUCCCCGGUAGUUGACCUGUCUUAGGAGGAAGUCCGGGCUAAGUUCGUGCCAGCAGCCGCGGUAAGACGAACCGGACAAACGUUAUUCGGAAUUACUGGGCUUAAAGGGUUCGUAGGCGGCCCCGUAAGUGAGAUGUGAAAGCCCUCGGC